RNAcentral lists this transfer RNA (67 nucleotides) under Marisa planogyra. RNAcentral's name for it is "tRNA-Val". Lineage: Eukaryota; Metazoa; Mollusca; Gastropoda; Architaenioglossa; Ampullariidae. The record is from RNAcentral.
UGAGGUAUAGCAUAAUUAAAAUGCAUUUCGUUUACAUUGAAAAUAUAUUUACUUAAAAUUGCCUUAU